Molecule: ribosomal RNA, 497 nt
Filed under: uncultured bacterium
Lineage: Bacteria
Description: partial 16S ribosomal RNA
Rfam family: Bacterial small subunit ribosomal RNA
Source: RNAcentral
GAUGAACGCUGGCGGCGUGCCUAAUACAUGCGAGUCGAGCGAACAGAUGAGGAGCUUGCUCCUCUGACGUUAGCGGCGGACGGGUGAGUAACACGUGGAUAACCUACCUAUAAGACUGGGAUAACUUCGGGAAACCGGAGCUAAUACCGGAUAAUAUAUUGAACCGCAUGGUUCAAUAGUGAAAGACGGUUUUGCUGUCACUUAUAGAUGGAUCCGCGCCGCAUUAGCUAGUUGGUAAGGUAACGGCUUACCAAGGCAACGAUGCGUAGCCGACCUGAGAGGGUGAUCGGCCACACUGGAACUGAGACACGGUCCAGGCUCCUACGGGAGGCAGCAGUAGGGAAUCUUCCGCAAUGGGCGAAAGCCUGACGGAGCAACGCCGCGUGAGUGAUGAAGGUCUUCGGAUCGUAAAACUCUGUUAUUAGGGAAGAACAAAUGUGUAAGUAACUAUGCACGUCUUGACGGUACCUAAUCAGAAAGCCACGGCUAACUACGUG